ACAACCUUGUUUGAUUUCUGCGACUUCAAGACAGAGCCUCCAGCGCUCAUCCAGGCGCCCUGGGUGAUAGACUGGCUGGCCUGAGUUGGUGACUGAGAAACCUCAGGGAUUUGAAAGAUGCCAGGACUUGGGUCACUCAGAAAAGAAAACCUCAGGGUAGGGGUUCAGGACAGAAGUGGGGAGGAGCUGGAGAUCCUGAGAGGACACCGGGGGCAUGGCAGCCGGGAAGAAACCUGCUUAACAGCCUCAGCGGCCCGGGGAACGAGAGCGCCCAGCCCCAGCCUGCACCCAGCUGUACGCUGAGGCUGGGGACCAGGGAGAGACAGGCUUUCUUAAGCAGGGAGGGUUUGAGCCAGCGACAGCCACUGUGCAAAGUUACUGAGGAUUAAACAAAUCAGACUUGAAAAAUCCA
Molecule: long non-coding RNA, 412 nt
Filed under: Homo sapiens (human)
Lineage: Eukaryota; Metazoa; Chordata; Mammalia; Primates; Hominidae
Description: novel transcript, antisense to NPTX1
Source: RNAcentral